This 489-nucleotide ribosomal RNA is filed under the name uncultured bacterium. RNAcentral describes it as "partial 16S ribosomal RNA". It matches the Rfam family "Bacterial small subunit ribosomal RNA", at positions 30 to 506 of the family's 1533-position model. The record is from RNAcentral.
AUUGAACGCUGGCGGCAGGCCUAACACAUGCAAGUCGAAUGGUAACAGGAAACAGCUUGCUGUUUCGCUGACGAGUGGCGGACGGGUGAGUAAUGUCUGGGAAACUGCCUGAUGGAGGGGGAUAACUACUGGAAACGGUAGCUAAUACCGCAUAACGUCGCAAGACCAAAGAGGGGGACCUUCGGGCCUCUUGCCAUCAGAUGUGCCCAGAUGGGAUUAGCUAGUAGGUGGGGUAACGGCUCACCUAGGCGACGAUCCCUAGCUGGUCUGAGAGGAUGACCAGCCACACUGGAACUGAGACACGGUCCAGACUCCUACGGGAGGCAGCAGUGGGGAAUAUUGCACAAUGGGCGCAAGCCUGAUGCAGCCAUGCCGCGUGUAUGAAGAAGGCCUGCGGGUUGUAAAGUACUUUCAGCGGGGAGGAAGGGAGUAAAGUUAAUACCUUUGCUCAUUGACGUUACCCGCAGAAGAAGCACCGGCUAACUCCGG